UACGUAGGUGGCAAGCGUUGUCCGGAUUUACUGGGCGUAAAGAGCGCGCAGGCGGUCGUUCAAGUCGCGUGUGAAAGCCCCCGGCUCAACUGGGGAGGGUCACGCGAUACUGAUCGACUCGAAGGCAGGAGAGGGUAGUGGAAUUCCCGGUGUAGUGGUGAAAUGCGUAGAUAUCGGGAGGAACACCAGUGGCGAAGGCGACUACCUGGCCUGUUCUUGACGCUGAGGAGCGAAAGCUAGGGGAGCAAACGGG
Molecule: ribosomal RNA, 253 nt
Filed under: uncultured bacterium
Lineage: Bacteria
Description: partial 16S ribosomal RNA
Rfam family: Bacterial small subunit ribosomal RNA
Source: RNAcentral